AACAUUUUUCCGUGUGAUUCUGAAAAGAAUCUGUCUUCAGUUCAUGAACCGUGACAUUUCCCCCGGGGAACACUAUGUUCAGAAGGAGCUGCUGGAACAGGGAAGGCAAUCAGCGAAGGGCAGCAGCUGUGGCCCUGCCGAGUGGAGUUUGUGGCGCAGACCAGGACUGCCCAGAGCACUAAGGUCCACCUCCAGUGCUGGCCCGAGUGAGAGCAGAAACUGCUUCCCUGGGACAAUCUGCCUACUGUGCAGGAGGAGCAGGCCAUAUGUGUGGCUGGAAAAGAAACCCAGGACUAAUUAAGAUGAAGAGCUGCUUUCCUCCUCUAGCUCUCAGCCACCCUUGCACUUCAAUUAGGCCAAUCACACUCUAACUUCUUUUCAAAGAACCGACUUUUUCCUGGAUUCAGUCUGUCUUAUGAACAGUACUGGCCAGACUGUCAUCCUUGCUCACUCAUCCUGCCAUUAAUGGAAGAGUUUUCUAAAGCAUUGGAAUGUUGAUGCCCUGCUCAUGCUGUCAACCAAGAGGCCGUGCCACACAUCCCUAUGUGGAUUCCAAAGGGUAUCGGAACAUGAGAGGCAGGUGCUAGCAAAUUCAAAGACAGAUAGAUAUACAACAUACUUCCUGGAGUUUGGCAGUAAGCAGCCCGGACUGGAGUCACCAGACUUGCACUCUAGUCUCUCACUGCAUCUAACCACUGUGACGCGGCGAGGCCAUUUAACGUUGGUGGCCUCAGUUGCAUAAUUUCUCAAAUGAGGGCCUUAAAAUGGGCUUAGAACGGAAGGUUUAUUCCAGCUUCAACAUUCUGAGGAUCUCAUUCAAUAAAAUUGGAAAAAGAACCAGAGCAUAUUAAAUUUUACUUACAUGCAAUGAACAAAGCUGUAA
RNAcentral lists this long non-coding RNA (883 nucleotides) under Equus caballus (horse). RNAcentral describes it as "lncRNA (ENSECAG00000034890.3)". Lineage: Eukaryota; Metazoa; Chordata; Mammalia; Perissodactyla; Equidae. The record is from RNAcentral.